Molecule: ribosomal RNA, 510 nt
Filed under: uncultured bacterium
Lineage: Bacteria
Description: bacterial SSU rRNA
Rfam family: Bacterial small subunit ribosomal RNA
Source: RNAcentral
AUUGAACGCUGGCGGCGUGCUUAACACAUGCAAGUCGUGCGAGAAAGGUCCUUCGGGGACUGAGUAGAGCGGCGCACGGGUGAGUAACGCGUGGGUGACCUACCCAGGAGACCGUGAUAACAGUGGGAAACUGCUGCUAAUACCGGGUACGCUUCAUAUUUCACGUAUGGGGGAAAGGCGGCCUCUGCUUGCAAGCUGCCACUCUUGGAUGGGCCCGCGUCUCAUUAGCUUGUUGGUAGGGUAACGGCCUACCAAGGCGACGAUGAGUAGCUGGUCUGAGAGGAUGAUCAGCCACACUGGGACUGGAACACGGCCCAGACUCCUACGGGAGGCAGCAGUGGGGAAUAUUGCGCAAUGGGCGAAAGCCUGACGCAGCGACGCCGCGUGAGGGAAGAAGGCCUUCGGGUCGUAAACCUCUGUCAGGAGGGAAGAAACCAUGGGAGUCGAACAGGCUCUCGUGCUGACGGUACCUCCGGAGGAAGCACCGGCUAACUCCGUGCCAGCAGCCGC